Molecule: ribosomal RNA, 274 nt
Filed under: uncultured bacterium
Lineage: Bacteria
Description: partial 16S ribosomal RNA
Rfam family: Bacterial small subunit ribosomal RNA
Source: RNAcentral
AUACGGAGGGUGCAAGCGUUAAUCGGAAUUACUGGGCGUAAAGCGUACGUAGGCGGUCCGUUAAGUUAGAUGUGAAAGCCCCGGGCUUAACCUGGGAACUGCAUUUAAAACUGGCGGACUAGAGUUUAGUAGAGGGGAGUGGAAUUUCAGGUGUAGCGGUGAAAUGCGUAGAGAUCUGAAGGAACACCAGUGGCGAAGGCGACUCCCUGGACUAAAACUGACGCUGAGGUACGAAAGCGUGGGUAGCAAACAGGAUUAGAUACCCCAGUAGUCC